This 2901-nucleotide ribosomal RNA is filed under the name Escherichia coli. Its description in RNAcentral is "bacterial LSU rRNA". It matches the Rfam family "Bacterial large subunit ribosomal RNA". The record is from RNAcentral. Lineage: Bacteria; Pseudomonadati; Pseudomonadota; Gammaproteobacteria; Enterobacterales; Enterobacteriaceae.
UUAAGCGACUAAGCGUACACGGUGGAUGCCCUGGCAGUCAGAGGCGAUGAAGGACGUGCUAAUCUGCGAUAAGCGUCGGUAAGGUGAUAUGAACCGUUAUAACCGGCGAUUUCCGAAUGGGGAAACCCAGUGUGUUUCGACACACUAUCAUUAACUGAAUCCAUAGGUUAAUGAGGCGAACCGGGGGAACUGAAACAUCUAAGUACCCCGAGGAAAAGAAAUCAACCGAGAUUCCCCCAGUAGCGGCGAGCGAACGGGGAGCAGCCCAGAGCCUGAAUCAGUGUGUGUGUUAGUGGAAGCGUCUGGAAAGGCGCGCGAUACAGGGUGACAGCCCCGUACACAAAAAUGCACAUGCUGUGAGCUCGAUGAGUAGGGCGGGACACGUGGUAUCCUGUCUGAAUAUGGGGGGACCAUCCUCCAAGGCUAAAUACUCCUGACUGACCGAUAGUGAACCAGUACCGUGAGGGAAAGGCGAAAAGAACCCCGGCGAGGGGAGUGAAAAAGAACCUGAAACCGUGUACGUACAAGCAGUGGGAGCACGCUUAGGCGUGUGACUGCGUACCUUUUGUAUAAUGGGUCAGCGACUUAUAUUCUGUAGCAAGGUUAACCGAAUAGGGGAGCCGAAGGGAAACCGAGUCUUAACUGGGCGUUAAGUUGCAGGGUAUAGACCCGAAACCCGGUGAUCUAGCCAUGGGCAGGUUGAAGGUUGGGUAACACUAACUGGAGGACCGAACCGACUAAUGUUGAAAAAUUAGCGGAUGACUUGUGGCUGGGGGUGAAAGGCCAAUCAAACCGGGAGAUAGCUGGUUCUCCCCGAAAGCUAUUUAGGUAGCGCCUCGUGAAUUCAUCUCCGGGGGUAGAGCACUGUUUCGGCAAGGGGGUCAUCCCGACUUACCAACCCGAUGCAAACUGCGAAUACCGGAGAAUGUUAUCACGGGAGACACACGGCGGGUGCUAACGUCCGUCGUGAAGAGGGAAACAACCCAGACCGCCAGCUAAGGUCCCAAAGUCAUGGUUAAGUGGGAAACGAUGUGGGAAGGCCCAGACAGCCAGGAUGUUGGCUUAGAAGCAGCCAUCAUUUAAAGAAAGCGUAAUAGCUCACUGGUCGAGUCGGCCUGCGCGGAAGAUGUAACGGGGCUAAACCAUGCACCGAAGCUGCGGCAGCGACACUGUGUGUUGUUGGGUAGGGGAGCGUUCUGUAAGCCUGUGAAGGUGUGCUGUGAGGCAUGCUGGAGGUAUCAGAAGUGCGAAUGCUGACAUAAGUAACGAUAAAGCGGGUGAAAAGCCCGCUCGCCGGAAGACCAAGGGUUCCUGUCCAACGUUAAUCGGGGCAGGGUGAGUCGACCCCUAAGGCGAGGCCGAAAGGCGUAGUCGAUGGGAAACAGGUUAAUAUUCCUGUACUUGGUGUUACUGCGAAGGGGGGACGGAGAAGGCUAUGUUGGCCGGGCGACGGUUGUCCCGGUUUAAGCGUGUAGGCUGGUUUUCCAGGCAAAUCCGGAAAAUCAAGGCUGAGGCGUGAUGACGAGGCACUACGGUGCUGAAGCAACAAAUGCCCUGCUUCCAGGAAAAGCCUCUAAGCAUCAGGUAACAUCAAAUCGUACCCCAAACCGACACAGGUGGUCAGGUAGAGAAUACCAAGGCGCUUGAGAGAACUCGGGUGAAGGAACUAGGCAAAAUGGUGCCGUAACUUCGGGAGAAGGCACGCUGAUAUGUAGGUGAAGCGACUUGCUCGUGGAGCUGAAAUCAGUCGAAGAUACCAGCUGGCUGCAACUGUUUAUUAAAAACACAGCACUGUGCAAACACGAAAGUGGACGUAUACGGUGUGACGCCUGCCCGGUGCCGGAAGGUUAAUUGAUGGGGUCAGCGCAAGCGAAGCUCUUGAUCGAAGCCCCGGUAAACGGCGGCCGUAACUAUAACGGUCCUAAGGUAGCGAAAUUCCUUGUCGGGUAAGUUCCGACCUGCACGAAUGGCGUAAUGAUGGCCAGGCUGUCUCCACCCGAGACUCAGUGAAAUUGAACUCGCUGUGAAGAUGCAGUGUACCCGCGGCAAGACGGAAAGACCCCGUGAACCUUUACUAUAGCUUGACACUGAACAUUGAGCCUUGAUGUGUAGGAUAGGUGGGAGGCUUAGAAGUGUGGACGCCAGUCUGCAUGGAGCCGACCUUGAAAUACCACCCUUUAAUGUUUGAUGUUCUAACGUUGACCCGUAAUCCGGGUUGCGGACAGUGUCUGGUGGGUAGUUUGACUGGGGCGGUCUCCUCCUAAAGAGUAACGGAGGAGCACGAAGGUUGGCUAAUCCUGGUCGGACAUCAGGAGGUUAGUGCAAUGGCAUAAGCCAGCUUGACUGCGAGCGUGACGGCGCGAGCAGGUGCGAAAGCAGGUCAUAGUGAUCCGGUGGUUCUGAAUGGAAGGGCCAUCGCUCAACGGAUAAAAGGUACUCCGGGGAUAACAGGCUGAUACCGCCCAAGAGUUCAUAUCGACGGCGGUGUUUGGCACCUCGAUGUCGGCUCAUCACAUCCUGGGGCUGAAGUAGGUCCCAAGGGUAUGGCUGUUCGCCAUUUAAAGUGGUACGCGAGCUGGGUUUAGAACGUCGUGAGACAGUUCGGUCCCUAUCUGCCGUGGGCGCUGGAGAACUGAGGGGGGCUGCUCCUAGUACGAGAGGACCGGAGUGGACGCAUCACUGGUGUUCGGGUUGUCAUGCCAAUGGCACUGCCCGGUAGCUAAAUGCGGAAGAGAUAAGUGCUGAAAGCAUCUAAGCACGAAACUUGCCCCGAGAUGAGUUCUCCCUGACCCUUUAAGGGUCCUGAAGGAACGUUGAAGACGACGACGUUGAUAGGCCGGGUGUGUAAGCGCAGCGAUGCGUUGAGCUAACCGGUACUAAUGAACCGUGAGGCUUAACCUU